UAAUUAAUUUUUUAAACACACACACAUAUCGACACAUACACUUGGGUGCGUUUAAACCAAAUUAGCGGUUUAAAUGUUGGUGCUAUGGGAUAUGUGGAGGCCUAAC
This 106-nucleotide small RNA is filed under the name Pseudoalteromonas ulvae. Its description in RNAcentral is "t44 RNA". It matches the Rfam family "t44 RNA". Rfam says of the family: This family consists of a number of bacterial RNA genes of between 135 and 170 bases in length. The t44 gene is found between the map and rpsB genes in all species in the full alignment apart from Shigella flexneri. The record is from Rfam by way of RNAcentral. Lineage: Bacteria; Pseudomonadati; Pseudomonadota; Gammaproteobacteria; Alteromonadales; Pseudoalteromonadaceae.